This is a non-coding RNA of Cricetulus griseus (Chinese hamster), 955 nucleotides long. Lineage: Eukaryota; Metazoa; Chordata; Mammalia; Rodentia; Cricetidae. The record is from RefSeq and is a predicted model, not a curated record.
AUAGGCGCCUCUGGCGCGACGCGUGGGAGAGAACGUGACCGUCAUUUUUUUGUGUGUGUCAACUGUGGGAAAAUGAGCGAGAAAAUGGAACGGGACAGGAGCAGCGGCACAAUAACGUCAUUUGAAUGCAGUCUCGAGUGCUCCAAGCUCCUUGCUGUCACCCAGAGCCCUUCUGUGAAACACAUGCAGUCCUUAAAUUCUUCGCUGGUACUCUUGGCUUUUGUCCCUGCCCUUGCAGUAGCCGCCCAGUCCUGCAUGGGUUUUUACUUCAUCUUUCCGUAUCGCCUCUUUUCCUCCAAAAGUCCACAUAUUUUGUAUGUGUUUUCUAAUCUUGGCUCCUGUUUGGAAUCAGGUACAAGCCUCUAAGAAAGAAAAAGAAGUCUAUGGGUUCCAUAUCCAUAGAUUCAGAUGCAAGUGUUCUUGCGUGAUGUCUGGGCUUCGAGUUUUUUUUUUUUGUUGUUGUUGUUGUUGUUGUUGUUGUUUUUAAAUAGUUACCUAGCGAUUCUUAUGCACAACUCACGGAGAAAUUCACUAUUAAAAGCGUCUGUUUCUCAGACCCCACCUAAUCAACGUUUUGCAGCUUCAUCUCCCGCAGGUGUAACAGAUGCUCAUGCUCAUCGCAAGGCGGGAGUAGACUUUCCAGCACAUCCUCUGAAGCAGUGGUGUCAAGCUGCAGCUCAUUUGCUCUCUAGGGAACAUUCUACAACCUCUGGAGACACUUUGAGUUGUCAGGCUGGAGAGAUGGCUCAGCAGUUAAAAGCACUGACUGCUCUUCCAGAAGACUCAGCUUCAGUUCCCAGAACCCACAUAUCAGCUAACAACUGCCUCAACUCCAAGACCUGACACCCUCACACAGACAUACUUUAGUCCAGCAACCAGAACCAAAGAAAUGCACCCUGACCCUGAAACCAGUGCCAAAGAAACACCCUUUGUCCCUAGAAUCGGAGCCAGUGAA